UAUAAAAACGGGAAAAAUGUUACCGUUAGCCCUCAUCUCAGCAUUCAACACCUCAGUGCGCAACUUUUCGACUUCAGCAGACAAGCCGAUUAGGUCUUUCUCCAAAGUCUUCAUUUGUUCCACUUUUUCUGUGUUUACGCCUUUUUCAUGUUCAAACGUCUUGCUUCAUUUUCACAACCCAAAAAAAUAAAAUAAAAAAAAAGAGUCGAAAGUAAGUAUAAUAAAAGGAACACCGAACAUAAAUUCAUAACGUAUAUCAAAGACGUAUCACAAAAGAAACACGAAAGUAAAUUGAAAAAUCAUUUCUUUACUAUAUUAUAUAACGAAAAAAAAUGCUUAUUUCACUUACCGUAACCUCUGAUGUUCUUCCCUCAAGCUAUCAAGUUCCGUACGCAUUUCCGGAAUCUCCUUAACAUCCGCACGCAUUUCCGGAAUCUUCUUAACAUCCGCACGCAUUUCCCGGAAUCUCCUUACAUCCGCACGCAUUUCCGGAAUCUUUUUAACAUCCGCAAGAGAAUUAUCCAACUCUUUAGUCGCCAGCUGGAUCUUAUUAGUCAACUCCAGCGUCUCUUUGACCAAACCCCGUUUUCCAUUAUGGGCCUCUUGAAGUUCUUUCUUUAUACUGCUCCCAUUUCGGAUGUCGGCUUCCAUUUUUGCAAUCUUGUCCAACAAAAUCCUUCAAGAACCAAAUUACAAAAGAUGUAUUACAAGUUACAACACACACAUCCCGUACAACAGAAUAAAGAAAAAAAUUAGUAUGUCCCGCACAGGAUGGCCUAGCGAUUGGAGCAAAUAAGAUUUGGGUCAAUUAACCCAAGUUCGAAUACUCUUGUCCACGGUCGUUAGGUCAGCUUGUCACACAUGAUUAGCCUAAUAUAGUUUAUAUAUUUCAUAUGAUUUGCACACUAUUAUACGAGAAUACUCAGUGCACUUAUAUAGUUGAAUAGUGCACUAUAUAUAGUUGUAUACGAGAAUACUCAGUGCACUUAUAUAGUUGAAUAGUGCACUAUAUAUAGUUGAAUAGUGCACUUAUAUAGUUGAAUGUGGGUUCAUUUAUGACAAAAAAAGAAAAAAAAAAUGAAGUAUAAUAUGUCUCAUUCAUCUUUGUAAAUAUUACCAUUAACACCAAACAAAUAACAUUUCAGCCCAACAAACAAGUUCUCUACAACAACUGUUAAUAUAAGUUAUAACUUCAAAGAAAGUAUAAAACCAUUUGUGAAGAACUAUUAUAAUUUGAGAUGAUUUAAUUAACAGGUUAAUUUAAUUGUUCAAUAUCUUAUAGCAUAACAGCCUCCAAAUUCCUAAAUAAAUUAUCGUCUAUAUCUGAGGAGCACUGGACUUAUCGUACACCCCUCCCCAAACAUUACCAGCAGCAUCAACCCCGACAACUUGAGGGGGGGCCACUGCAAAUCCACCGCCAGCAUCACCGCCAAUAACUUGAGGUGGGACAACUGAAAAUCCACCACCGGAUGUGGCAUCACCGCCAAUAACUUGAGGUGGGACCACUGAAAAUCCACCACCGGAUGCGGCAUCACCGCCAACUAACGGACCAGCGAAUACUUGAGGCCCAAUCGAAAAUCCACCAACGGCAUACGGAUAAAAAUGAGGCAUACUGAAACUUUCCGGAUAGCCACCAUUUCCAUAAUACUGAGGUGGAUAUAUGUUACCUGUGUUUACGUAUUGACCGCUGUAUGGGAUUGGAGCUGCAUAUAAAUAUAUAUGAGAACGAUAAUGAAAAAGGGUUUUAGAUGGAAAACUAAUAUAAAAACGGGAAAAAAUGUUACCGUUAGCUCUCAUCUCAGCGUUCAACACCUCAGCGCGCAACUUUUCAACUUCAGCAGACAUGUCGAUUAGGUCUUUCUCCAAAGUCUUCAUUUGUUCCACUUUUUCUGUGUUUACGCCUUUUUCAUGUUCAAACGUCUUGCUUCAUAUUCACAACCCAAAAAAAUAAAAAAAUAAAAAAGCCGAAAGUAAGUAUAAGAAAAGGAAAAAUAAACAUAAAUUCAUAACGUAUAUUAAUGACAUAUCACAAAAGAAACAUGAACGUAAAUUGAAAAUUCAUUUCUUUACUAUAUUAUAGAACAAAAAAAAAUGCUUAUUCCACUUACCGUAACCUCUGAUGUUCUUCCCUCAGGCUAUCAAGUUCCGCACGCAUUUCCGGAAUCUUCUUAACAUCCGCACGAGAAUUAUCCAACUCUUUAGUCGCCAGCUGAAUUUUAUUAGUCAACUCCAGCCUCUCUUUGACCAAACCCCGUUUUUCGUUAUGGGCCUCUUGAAGUUCUUUCUUUAUACUGCUCCCAUUUCGGAUAUCG
This 2312-nucleotide long non-coding RNA is filed under the name Erythranthe guttata (spotted monkey flower). RNAcentral's name for it is "long non-coding RNA (EGUT_LNC001159)". Lineage: Eukaryota; Viridiplantae; Streptophyta; Magnoliopsida; Lamiales; Phrymaceae. The record is from RNAcentral.